UACGGGAAGGCAGCAGUGGGGAAUAUUGCACAAUGGGCGAAAGCCUGAUGCAGCUAUGCCGCGUGUAUGAAGAAGGCCUUAGGGUUGUAAAGUACUUUCAUCGGGGAGGAAAAACAAAACUAAUAAUUUUAUUUCUUGACGUUACCCGAAAAAGAAGCACCGGCUAACUCCGUGCCAGCAGCCGCGGUAAUACGGAGGGUGCUAGCGUUAAUCAGAAUUACUGGGCGUAAAGAGCACGUAGGUGGUUUUUUUAAGUCAGAUGUGAAAUCCCUGGGCUUAACCUAGGAAACUGCAUUUUGAAACUGAAAUACUAGAGUAUCGUAGAGGGAGGUAGAAUUCUAGGUGUAGCGGUGAAAUGCGUAGAUAUCUGGAGGAAUACCUGUGGCGAAAGCGGCCUCCUAAACGAAUACUGACACUGAGGUGCGAAAGCGUGGGGA
Molecule: ribosomal RNA, 437 nt
Filed under: uncultured bacterium
Lineage: Bacteria
Description: bacterial SSU rRNA
Rfam family: Bacterial small subunit ribosomal RNA
Source: RNAcentral